GCUGGGCAUGGUGACUCAUGCCUGUAAUCCCAGCACUUUGGGAGGCCGAGGCAGGAGGAUCACUUGAGCCCAGGAGUUCAAGACCAGCCUAGGCAACAUAGUGAGACCCUGUCUCUA
RNAcentral lists this non-coding RNA (117 nucleotides) under Chlorocebus sabaeus (green monkey). The record is from Rfam by way of RNAcentral. Lineage: Eukaryota; Metazoa; Chordata; Mammalia; Primates; Cercopithecidae.